CUUUUCGUAUCAAGAACAGAAGAUCUUCAGCAGAGAUUACUCUUGCUCCCCUCAGCUGGGAAACUUCAGCAGCUUGCUGCAACUAACAAAGGAAAUUAACUAACUGAGUGUG
Molecule: long non-coding RNA, 112 nt
Organism: Dipodomys spectabilis (banner-tailed kangaroo rat)
Lineage: Eukaryota; Metazoa; Chordata; Mammalia; Rodentia; Heteromyidae
Exons: 3
Source: RefSeq, a predicted model, not a curated record